UUUUUGAAAUAUAUUGCUGCCAUGUUAGUUAAGUGUGUAGGAUAUGGAUGUUGGGAAGUGUUAUAAAUGGUAGUUUGACUGAUAUUGAAAUAUUGUUUUUAUUUGCAGGUUUAUGAUUUUACAUGUUGUUUUGGCUUGGAUACGGUUAAUGGAGCACAUCAGAUGGCUUGGAAUUGACUUGACUUUAUUGGAUGUUUGGAAUUUAUUGCUGUAAUUUGGAAUUGUAUUGAAAU
Molecule: long non-coding RNA, 233 nt
Filed under: Lathyrus oleraceus (garden pea)
Lineage: Eukaryota; Viridiplantae; Streptophyta; Magnoliopsida; Fabales; Fabaceae
Description: Pisum sativum (pea) long non-coding RNA (PSAT_LNC036556)
Source: RNAcentral